RNAcentral lists this unclassified non-coding RNA (356 nucleotides) under Hevea brasiliensis (rubber tree). The record is from RNAcentral. Lineage: Eukaryota; Viridiplantae; Streptophyta; Magnoliopsida; Malpighiales; Euphorbiaceae.
AUCAUAAGCUCUUGCUGCUUCUUCUUCGCCAUUGAACGUACCAAGCCAAAUCCUUUGAUGUUUUUCGUAGAUUUGUGCACCCCAUCGACCAUUUGGUUGAGGGACAACACCUUUGAACUUUGAAGAAGGAAGCUUAUUGUUGUUAUUAUUAGUAAUAGUAGUAUUUUUCGACUCUGCUUCUACACCGUUUGUGGAGUCAGCGUCUGUUACAACGCUGACUCCACUUCCCAUCUGGCGGGGAGACCCCGCCGGGGAAAUGGUUGAUGGGGAGUCACUAGUUGUGCUAAUUUCUUGAUCUAUGCAACUUACCUCCAUUUGCUCUGUUUUGCUCUGUUUUACUCUGUUUUGCUCUGUUU